UACGUAGGAUUCAAGCGUUAUCCGGAUUUAUUGGGUUUAAAGGGUGCGUAGGCGGAUUGAUAAGUUAGAGGUGAAAUGUCCGAGCUCAACUCGGGAACUGCCUCUAAUACUGUUGAUCUAGAGAGUAGAUGCGGUAGGCGGAAUGUAUGGUGUAGCGGUGAAAUGCUUAGAGAUCAUACAGAACACCGAUUGCGAAGGCAGCUUACCAAUCUAUAUCUGACGUUGAGGCACGAAAGCGUGGGUAGCAAACAGG
Molecule: ribosomal RNA, 253 nt
Filed under: uncultured bacterium
Lineage: Bacteria
Description: partial 16S ribosomal RNA
Rfam family: Bacterial small subunit ribosomal RNA
Source: RNAcentral